GACGAACGCUGGCGGCAUGCCUAACACAUGCAAGUCGAGGGGCAGCACAGAAACAGCAAUGUUUUGGUGGCGACCGGCGGACGGGUGCGUAACGCGUAUGCAACCUACCUUUAACAGGGGGAUAACGGAGAGAAAUUUCCACUAAUACCCCAUAACAUCGAUCAAGGCAUCUUGAUUGGUUGAAAACUCCGGUGGUUAAAGAUGGGCAUGCGUUGUAUUAGGUAGUUGGUGAGGUAAUGGCUCACCAAGCCUACGAUACAUAGGGGGACUGAGAGGUUAGCCCCCCACACUGGUACUGAGACACGGACCAGACUCCUACGGGAGGCAGCAGUGAGGAAUAUUGGUCAAUGGGGGCAACCCUGAACCAGCCAUGCCGCGUGCAGGAAGACGGCUCUAUGAGUUGUAAACUGCUUUUAAACAGGGAUAAAGCACAGUAUGUAUACUGUGUUGAAGGUACUGUAAGAAUAAGGAUCGGCUAACUCCGUGCCAGCAGCCGCCAGUAA
This 503-nucleotide ribosomal RNA is filed under the name uncultured bacterium. RNAcentral's name for it is "partial 16S ribosomal RNA". It matches the Rfam family "Bacterial small subunit ribosomal RNA", at positions 28 to 523 of the family's 1533-position model. The record is from RNAcentral.